GAUGAAGAACGUAGCGAAAUGCGAUAAGUAAUGUGAAUUGCAGAAUUCCGUGAAUCAUCGAAUCUUUGAACGCACAUUUCGCCCUCUGGUAUUCCGGGGGGCAUGCCUGUCCGAGCGUCAUUUGCAACCCUCAAGCCCGGCUUGUGUGAUGGGUGCCGUCCCCUACGGGACGCGCCCCGAAGGCAAUGGCGGCGUCGCGGUUAUCCGAUCAGCCAAAGUGUAUGGGGCUUUGUCACUCACUUUACGGCCCGGACCGGCGCCAGUCCGAAUCAAUCUUUUUUCUAAAGUUGACCUCGGAUCAGGUAGGGAUACCCGCUGAACUUAAGCAUAUCAAUAAGCGGAGGA
This 345-nucleotide unclassified non-coding RNA is filed under the name soil metagenome. RNAcentral describes it as "partial contains 5.8S ribosomal RNA, internal transcribed spacer 2, and large subunit ribosomal RNA". The stretch from base 1 to 120 matches the Rfam family "5.8S ribosomal RNA", at positions 35 to 154 of the family's 154-position model. The record is from RNAcentral.